Daucus carota subsp. sativus is the source of this 1403-nucleotide long non-coding RNA. RefSeq lists it as uncharacterized. Lineage: Eukaryota; Viridiplantae; Streptophyta; Magnoliopsida; Apiales; Apiaceae. The transcript is spliced from 4 exons. The record is from RefSeq and is a predicted model, not a curated record.
UUGAACUAUAGUGGGCUAAUUGUGAUAAUAACAGGUGCUCACACCCUUUUUCUUGUUUUGUGCCACGUAUCAACCCCUCUGUUAAUCUCUCGACCUCACCGCCUCUCUCCCUCAACUCCACCGAGACGAUCGCUACAUCCCUACACACCUUUCCGUUUCCAUCUUUCACCUUUAAAUUCACUGCCUCCAGACUUCGCCGUGAUUUCCAGCCGCUGCCAAUCUCCACCACCGCUGCUAUGUCCUCCGUUUUUACUCUGCUCGAAGCCAGUAGUUGUCCUUCAAUUCUUCGGCCAAUUAACUCCGUUUUCUGGCCAGCAGUCCACCCUUUCUUUGAUUAUUCUGAUUGGUUAACUCCGUCGGCAUCGACAGCCGAAGUACCGUGUUACUCGUGGAGAAUCAACUGAGACUUGUAUAUCAAGGACAUUCAGACGUAGUUGAAUAGCUUUGUGAAUGGAAUCAGGAAUAGUUCCUUAAGAUGAAGCUGUGCUGUGAGAUAGUCCGAUAGAAAUUAAUUGGUGUGAAAAUCAGCAGAACUGAGAUAAUGUUAAAGAUGGUUCGCCUAUUUAUGCUAAGUGUAAGAGUAAUGCUAGGCAAGGAUUGCAAGUGACUAAGUUUCAACCUGAUGGUCAGGAAGAGUAUCCAAGAUCGAGUCUUUGGGACUAGUGGUUUUAAAUUAUUUUUAUUUACACGUGGCACCAAAUCUAGACCCCCGGAUUUGAGGGCUGUCACACGUAUUCGGCCCUUUUCAGUAUUGGGCGAGGAAGGUAAGCAAUGGGCGAGGUCCUUCAGCAAUGGGCGAGGACUCUCUCUUGAAGACCUGGGCCGCUAGCCAAUGGGCCGUGUAGCCUGAUACAUGUCUAGGACGAGGGUCCAUACCGGGCGAGGACCGUCCUGUUGACCUGGGUCCAUAUGUUACUGGGUCCUCACUUCCUGGGCUUCAUAUAUGGCGAGACCCAUAUAAUGGGCGAGGACAAUCUCAGAGAUUGGUUCCUUCCGUGUUGACAGGCGAGUUCUACGCAAUCAUCUGCCGAGUUGAUAUUUGGCCAUAACAGGAACAUAACACAAAGUGAAGGACGGAGACUGCCACCACAAGGUGCAGACAUAUCGUGCAUCUUCUCCUUUAAUGAAGAUCUUAAAGAGUUGAUCUUUCACAUCCAAAAGUUUGCGUUGGAUGGCACUGAAAAACUAGGUCUGAAUUGUGAUCAGAAAUUCAACAUCUAUAUGAAAGUGAGGGCUCAGAAGUUACUGGAAUACGAAGAAAAUGGAGGCAAAUAUUUGUUUAAAUGCUAAAUUAGUUUGCAAAAUUACUCGAUUAGUCCAUGGAAGUGAUAUUGUGGACUUCUGAUGGAUAGGAUUUAAAAGCAUCCUUGCAACCUAUGUUUCAGUCGAUAUGACUUCGUUUC